RNAcentral lists this transfer RNA (73 nucleotides) under Pocillopora damicornis (cauliflower coral). Its description in RNAcentral is "tRNA-Asn". It matches the Rfam family "tRNA". From Rfam's summary of the family: Transfer RNA (tRNA) molecules are approximately 80 nucleotides in length. Their secondary structure includes four short double-helical elements and three loops (D, anti-codon, and T loops). The record is from Rfam by way of RNAcentral. Lineage: Eukaryota; Metazoa; Cnidaria; Anthozoa; Scleractinia; Pocilloporidae.
GGCUUUUUAGCUCAGUUGGUAGAGCACUGCACCGUUAUUGCAGAGGUCAUGGGUUCAAAUCCCGUUGAAGCCU